UACGUAGGUGGCAAGCGUUGUCCGGAAUUAUUGGGCGUAAAGCGCGCGCAGGUGGUUUCUUAAGUCUGAUGUGAAAGCCCACGGCUCAACCGUGGAGGGUCAUUGGAAACUGGGGAACUUGAGUGCAGAAGAGGAAAGUGGAAUUCCAAGUGUAGCGGUGAAAUGCGUAGAGAUUUGGAGGAACACCAGUGGCGAAGGCGCUGGGCUGGACGGUUAUUGACGCUGAGGUGCGAAAGCGUGGGGAGCAAACAGG
RNAcentral lists this ribosomal RNA (253 nucleotides) under uncultured bacterium. RNAcentral's name for it is "partial 16S ribosomal RNA". It matches the Rfam family "Bacterial small subunit ribosomal RNA", at positions 524 to 776 of the family's 1533-position model. The record is from RNAcentral.